This 301-nucleotide ribosomal RNA is filed under the name uncultured bacterium. Its description in RNAcentral is "partial 16S ribosomal RNA". It matches the Rfam family "Bacterial small subunit ribosomal RNA", at positions 509 to 808 of the family's 1533-position model. The record is from RNAcentral.
CAGCCGCCGCGGUAAAACGUAGGUCCCGAGCGUUGUCCGGAUUUAUUGGGCGUAAAGGGAGCGCAGGCGGUUUAGUAAGUCUGAAGUUAAAGGCACUGGCUCAACCAAUAUAUGCUUUGGAAACUGUUAGACUUGAGUGCAGGAGAGAAAAGUGGAAUUCCUAGUGUAGCGGUGAAAUGCGUAGAGAUUAGGAGGAACACCAGUGGCGAAGGCGGCUUUUUGGCCUGUAACUGACACUGAGGCGCGAAAGCGUGGGGAGCAAACAGGAUUAGAUACCCGUGUAGUCCCUGUCUCUUAUACA